RNAcentral lists this ribosomal RNA (253 nucleotides) under uncultured bacterium. RNAcentral's name for it is "partial 16S ribosomal RNA". It matches the Rfam family "Bacterial small subunit ribosomal RNA", at positions 524 to 776 of the family's 1533-position model. The record is from RNAcentral.
UACGUAGGGGGCUAGCGUUGUCCGGAAUCAUUGGGCGUAAAGGGCUCGUAGGCGGUCUGUUGCGUCAGGAGUGAAAACUCGGGGCUUAACCCCGAGCCUGCUUCUGAUACGGGCAGACUAGAGGUAUGCAGGGGAGAACGGAAUUCCUGGUGUAGCGGUGAAAUGCGCAGAUAUCAGGAGGAACACCGGUGGCGAAGGCGGUUCUCUGGGCAUUACCUGACGCUGAGGAGCGAAAGUGUGGGGAGCGAACAGG